Molecule: long non-coding RNA, 459 nt
Organism: Acanthopagrus latus (yellowfin seabream)
Lineage: Eukaryota; Metazoa; Chordata; Actinopteri; Spariformes; Sparidae
Exons: 2
Source: RefSeq, a predicted model, not a curated record
CAUCUUUAAGCACACAUGUGAUGAAUCAUCCAAUCACCUGUCGGCUGUCAGUAAAGGUGACUGUUACCUUACAGUCGUCAGGGAGUCGCUCUUUUCUCACUCUUAAAUUAGACGACUCUUGAAUGUAAUUCUGGGCCCUGGAUUCAGAGUUAUGAGCCACACGGAGGAACAAAUUAGCAAAGAAAAGAACAAUCUAACCAGCUAAUGAACAACUCGACUGAUUUACUGACUCACUGACCGACUAACCAGCCAGCAAACAGCCUGCAAGGAGACGCAGCCGAGAGAGAAGCAGCGGCGAGUAAUGAAUGAAAAGUGGAGCGACAUUUAGACAAAAUUGGAUGACCUUUCCAGAUCCUUCCGCCGAGUCCGCUAAGUAGAUCGGACGGCGAACGCGACGCGGCGACACUUUACUCAGAUUGUUACAGAAUGAGGAAAAAAAUAAAAGCUUGGCGGUCAUGA